This 484-nucleotide ribosomal RNA is filed under the name uncultured bacterium. Its description in RNAcentral is "partial 16S ribosomal RNA". It matches the Rfam family "Bacterial small subunit ribosomal RNA", at positions 30 to 507 of the family's 1533-position model. The record is from RNAcentral.
AUUGAACGCUGGCGGCAGGCCUAACACAUGCAAGUCGAGCGGAUGAAGGGAGCUUGCUCCUGGAAUCAGCGGCAGACGGGUGAGUAAUGCCUAGGAAUCUGCCUGGUAGUGGGGGAUAACGUCCGGAAACGGGCGCUACUACCGCCUACGUCCUCAGGGAGAAAGUGGGGGAUCUUCGGACCUCACGCUAUCAGAUGAGCCUAGGUCGGCUUAGCUAGUUGGUGGGGUAAAGGCCUCCCAAGGCGACGCUCCGUAACUGGUCUGAGAGGAUGAUCAGGCACACUGGAAUUGAGACACGGUCCAGACUCCUACGGGGGGCAGCAGUGGGGAAUAUGGGACAAGGGGCGAAUGCCGUAUCCAGCCAUGCCGCGUGUGUGAAGAAGGUCUUCGGAUUGUAGAGCACUUUAAGUUGGGAGGAAGGGCAGUAAGUGAAUGCCUUGCUGUUUUGACGGUACCAACAGAAUAAGCACCGGCUAACUUCGUG